UUUAUAUCUGUACUUUUGUCCACAGAAACACGCCAUAAAAAUGAUCAGAAAUAUAGUAGGCUUUUCAGGCAUAGUCUUGACAACAGUGCAGCUAUUCCCCUCCAACGGUUUUCUGAUCUGAAGAAAAAAAAAAAAAAAGAUUGUGCGUUCCCCGGAGAGAAAAGAAAAUGUUGUGCGUCGCGUGGAAUUUCGAUAUAUCGAAGUUCGGCGCGCGACACACCAUUUGAGGUAAUUCCCGUAAUUUCCUGUGCGCUACGCGUAAUCAGUAAAAUAUCGAAAUUACUCGCAACGCACAACAUUUUCCGUGAAACACUCAAAAUUCCCUGUGCUGCGGAGAUUUACUGUGUCGCGCGCUUAUUUUCUGUGUUGCGCACGCGUUUUAGGUUUGGUCCCUAACGGCGUUCCAUAGUACUACCCAUAAGAAAUUUAGUCAUGCGACGCGCGCUGUCCGAUUCGUGCAACGUGCUCAGACCAGUGUCUCAUAAGCUCGAGGCAACAUCAACUGAAUCGUGCGGAAACCGUGCGCCACUUGGAACAAAACUUGGAACCGCCUUGCACCGGGUAUUCGUUUCAUGUGGUUGAUUGGGUUGAUAUGAAUUUCUGAUAUCGUCGUUGCCUCAACGAUAUCGUCUUGCAGGUGGAGCAAUAUUCUUCCUCCGUUGAAUAAAAAUUCCAAACCCAAAUAAUGAGUGAAAUUUUGUGGAUGAUCAGAACUUCUUCAUGGAUUUCACAGAUCAGUUUCCUAUCAAUGGCCAGCCGAAUGUUCAACAGUGUCGUGUCUGUGAAAAAGUGUUCUCACAAGGCGAAGGAAUUGAUAUAUUCAGUCAGAACAGUGAUAUCCUCGAAAAAAUCCAUUUUUUCCUUUUUAUUUUUGUGCAUCCUAAUGACAAUUUGUCCAAACAUAUCUGCAUUGCCUGUUACAAUCAUCUUGCCUGGAUGAGCGAUUCCUCUCCCAACAGUGUGCCUCCGAUAAGUGAACCACCUGACUUGGGCAUUUUUGGGAACUUCAAUCAAAUGCUGGUAAUUGGAUAUCUUAUGGAACCCUCCUUAUAUCUUUAA
RNAcentral lists this long non-coding RNA (1059 nucleotides) under Bemisia tabaci. RNAcentral's name for it is "lncRNA ENSSSA2NGG012241". Lineage: Eukaryota; Metazoa; Arthropoda; Insecta; Hemiptera; Aleyrodidae. The record is from RNAcentral.